Molecule: ribosomal RNA, 390 nt
Filed under: Triticum aestivum (bread wheat)
Lineage: Eukaryota; Viridiplantae; Streptophyta; Magnoliopsida; Poales; Poaceae
Description: partial small subunit ribosomal RNA
Source: RNAcentral
AUGCCAACCCUGCCACCGAUGCUGGCUGUGCCAACGGUUCCGGCCGUGAUAGUACCAGCAAUGCCGACGGUGCCUGCGCUGACCGUGCCGCAGGUGACACUGCCUCCUAUGCCUGCUGUUCCUUCCAUGCCCAGGGUGGCAAUGCCUCCGAUGCUGGCCAUCGUCAUGCCCAAGGUGACCAUGGCGCCGAUGCCCGCCGUCGUUGUGCCUAAGGUGACGGUGCCACCGAUGCCCGCCAUUCCUUCAAUGCCCAAGGUGACACUGCCGCCGAUGCCUUCUAUCCCAACCGUCAACAUGCCUAUGCCGUUCCUGGCGCCGCCUCCAUCAGCACAGGUGUGCCAUGUGCAUGGUGUUGCAUUGACAGUGUCGCGUUCUUCAUGUUCAAUCUAG